CGCACCGUGCAGCAAUGUUCGGUGUGAUGCGGCAGAAGUCAGCAGAGGCCAUAGUAGCUCUAAUGGUGUCAAAAGAGUGAAGGGC
This is a non-coding RNA of Crenothrix polyspora, 85 nucleotides long. NCBI's taxonomy places the organism in Bacteria, Pseudomonadati, Pseudomonadota, Gammaproteobacteria, Methylococcales, Crenotrichaceae. The record is from Rfam.